UAGGGAAUCUUCGGCAAUGGACGAAAGUCUGACCGAGCAACGCCGCGUGAGUGAAGAAGGUUUUCGGAUCGUAAAACUCUGUUGUUAGAGAAGAACAAGGACGUUAGUAACUGAACGUCCCCUGACGGUAUCUAACCAGAAAGCCACGGCUAACUACGUGCCAGCAGCCGCGGUAAUACGUAGGUGGCAAGCGUUGUCCGGAUUUAUUGGGCGUAAAGCGAGCGCAGGCGGUUUCUUAAGUCUGAUGUGAAAGCCCCCGGCUCAACCGGGGAGGGUCAUUGGAAACUGGGAGACUUGAGUGCAGAAGAGGAGAGUGGAAUUCCAUGUGUAGCGGUGAAAUGCGUAGAUAUAUGGAGGAACACCAGUGGCCAAGGCGGCUCUCUGGUCUGUAACUGACGCUGAGGCUCGAAAGCGUGGGGAGCAAACAGG
This 429-nucleotide ribosomal RNA is filed under the name Gemmatimonadota bacterium. RNAcentral's name for it is "Gemmatimonadetes bacterium partial 16S ribosomal RNA". It matches the Rfam family "Bacterial small subunit ribosomal RNA", at positions 355 to 776 of the family's 1533-position model. Lineage: Bacteria; Pseudomonadati; Gemmatimonadota. The record is from RNAcentral.